UUGGAUGUCAGCUUUUACUUGGAAACUGGGGUAAUUCUUGAGCUAAUACAGGCGAAAAAUCCCGACUCACGAAGGGAUGCUUUUAUUAGAUCAAAACCAAACAGCUUCGGCUGUAACACUGGUGACUCUGAAUAACUUUGGGCUGAUCGCAUUGCCUUGAGCAGGCGACAUUUCCUUCGAAGGUGUGCCCUAUCAACUGUCGACUGUGAUAUAUACGCUCCCAGGGGUUUUGACGGGUAACGGGGAAUCAGGGUUCGAUUCCGGAAAGGGAGCCUUAAAAACGGCUACCACAUCCAAGGAAGGCAGCAGGCACGCAAAUUACCCAAUGAACGAAGUUCGAGGUAGUGACGAAAAAUAACAAUACAAGACUCAUCCGAGGCCUUGUAGUUGGAAUGAGUACUCUUUACCCCCGUUUCACAAGGAUCGAUUGGAGGGCAAGUCGGGUGCCACCACCCGCGGUAAUUCCCCCUCCAAUAACGUAUAUUAAAGUUGUUGUGGUUAAAAAGCUCGUAGUUGGAUUUCAGCGGGUAUAGGUUGGUUUGAAUUGCUUCCACACUGACUUUUUUACCCGUGUGUUUUGCCCGAAUUUAACGGGUGAUCUGGUCCGAUUGUCCGUUGGAACUGGUGAGUUUACUUUGAAAAAAUUAGAGUGCUCAAAGCAAGCUUACUGCUUGAAUAGUUGCGCAUGGAAUAAUAGAAUAGGAAGUCGUUUCUAUUUUGUUGGUUUUCGGAAAUCGACUUAAUGAUUAAUAGGGAUACUCGAGGUGCAUUCGUAUUCAAACGACAGAUGUGAAAUUCUUGGACCGUUUGAAGACGAUCUAAAGCGAAGUCUUUUGUCAUCAAUGUUUUCAUUUAUCAAGAACGAAAGUUAUCAGGUUCGAACGCGAUUAGAUACCGCCCUAAUUCUAACCAUAAACGAUGCCGGUAUCGAUCUGCCGGUCGUUUACUUUUCUGACUUGGCAGGCAGCUUCCUGCGAGACCGGAGCAUGGU
This 991-nucleotide ribosomal RNA is filed under the name uncultured eukaryote. Its description in RNAcentral is "bacterial SSU rRNA". It matches the Rfam family "Eukaryotic small subunit ribosomal RNA", at positions 120 to 1112 of the family's 1831-position model. The record is from RNAcentral.